Molecule: long non-coding RNA, 629 nt
Filed under: Drosophila guanche
Lineage: Eukaryota; Metazoa; Arthropoda; Insecta; Diptera; Drosophilidae
Source: RNAcentral
GACCUUGAACAGAGACUCACCAGACUGACUGACUUAUCUUUCUCUAACUUCACAGUUCAGCCAGAAAUACAAUAUACAAAGAACAGAGAACAUACUCCAAAAAUGGAACGAGAGCCACUGAAGGACAUAACCAACGUGCAGACAGAAAAGAAAAGGACCCAACAGAACACCCAAAAUGGGCAACCAGCCCGCAAACGCUUCGAGAUCUUUAGAGGAUCUAACUGAGGUGCGGACCAGAGAGUGAGUUCCAAACAGAAAGUGGCCUCACUAUAACGACUCAAACUUCCCCAAUUUCUUCAACAGUUUGGCCUAUGCGAUAGCGGAGGCGGAUGGAUAGCGGAGGGUAACUUGGAGUCCUCGGUCAACUCCUGUGACCUGCUUUGUUAUUUGAUGAGACCAUGGCUCGUUGUAUUAAUAACUUAAGACGUUUAUAAAUAUUUUGGAAAUCUACAGACCUCCCACACAACAAAGAAACACAAAAGCCACUACCGUAAAACAGGAAGAAAAGGAUUGAAAGCAGUCGAUCCGAUUUGCAGACUUGGUUUGCGAUUCUCAAAUUUUUUUGAACCUUCGGCACGUUUAAGGCUCUGUUGAGCCGAUAAGAGACGAUGGACUUAUAAAAGAAAAAG